AUUGAACGCUGGCGGCAUGCCUUACACAUGCAAGUCGAACGGCAGCACGGGGGCAACCCUGGUGGCGAGUGGCGAACGGGUGAGUACUGCAUCGGAAUGUACCCAGUAGUGGGGGAUAACUAGUCGAAAGACUAGCUAAUACCGCAUACGCACUGAGGUGGAAAGCGGGGGAUCGCAAGACCUCGCGCUAUUGGAGCAGCCGAUGCCCGAUUAGGUAGUUGGUGGGGUAAAAGCCUACCAAGCCGACGAUCGGUAACUGGUCUGAGAGGACGACCAGUCACACUGGGACUGAGACACGGCCCAGACUCCUACGGGAGGCAGCAGUGGGGAAUUUUGGACAAUGGGGGAAACCCUGAUCCAGCAAUGCCGCGUGUGUGAAGAAGGCCUUCGGUUGUAAGCACUUUGUCGGGACGAACGGACGCUGGUUAUACCUGGCGCUAAUGACGGUACCGCAGAAUAAGCACGGCUACUACGUGCCAGCAGCCGCGGUAACGACACGAGU
Molecule: ribosomal RNA, 502 nt
Filed under: uncultured bacterium
Lineage: Bacteria
Description: bacterial SSU rRNA
Rfam family: Bacterial small subunit ribosomal RNA
Source: RNAcentral